AACGCGAAGAACCUUACCUGGGUUAAAUCGUCCGGAACCCGCCAGAGAUGGAGGGGUGCCCUUCGGGGAACCGGAUAGAAGGUGCUGCAUGGCUGUCGUCAGCUCGUGUCGUGAGAUGUUGGGUUAAGUCCCGCAACGAGCGCAACCCUUGUCGUCAGUUGCUACCGGGUCAUGCCGAGCACUCUGGCGAGACUGCCGACGUUAAGUCGGAGGAAGGUGGGGAUGACGUCAAGUCCUCAUGGCCCUUAUGCCCAGGGCUACACACGUGCUACAAUGGCCGGUACAAAGGGUCGCAAAGUCGCAAGGCCAAGCCAAUCCCAAAAAACCGGUCUCAGUUCGGAUAGGAGUCUGCAACUCGACUCCUUGAAGUCGGAAUCGCUAGUAAUCGCGGAUCAGCACGCCGCGGUGAAUACGUUCCCGGGCCUUGUACACACCGGAGUGC
RNAcentral lists this ribosomal RNA (442 nucleotides) under uncultured bacterium. Its description in RNAcentral is "bacterial SSU rRNA". It matches the Rfam family "Bacterial small subunit ribosomal RNA", at positions 958 to 1398 of the family's 1533-position model. The record is from RNAcentral.